UUCAGGGACAAUCUCAAGGCAUCAGAUGUCACACAAACUACAAUAACUCAUGCAGAAUUACACAAGGCUUUCAGGGGAUCAAUGAUUUUGGGGCGGGGAAGGUGUGUGUGUGUGUGUGUUUGGAAUGAUCUUCACAGAAAGUUCAUGAAAAAAAGAAAAGGGUUUGGGUGAAGUCAUGGAGACGCCGGGUACAUGGUCUACAGAGCGAGCUACAGAGCGUGCAUGCUCGGGGUUCCUCCCACACAUCAGGAACUGAUUCGCGAUUGGGACGGCUCCGACGUUCUUCAGAGCAGCUGCUGUUGAACUUUUUCAGAGUCGGAUCCUCCAGUCAAACCCACCAAGAAGAGAGUCAUCACUGCGUUUCCUUGGACUGUGCUCUCAUUCCCCCAUGUGCUCCGGAUGGCGUUUCGAGCUUCUACCUGAUGGGGCGCCACAGGGACCAUCAAGACCAGGAACGGACUCUGCUGACAUUUAUCAGCGGCAGCUCGACUUGAGGAACUACCAGUCCAGCUUACUUUCCACAGGCUCGUCCGGAGUGUUCCAAGUGAGAUGUGAUGGCUUUGCCGAGGACCUAAACAAGCUCCUCUUCCUCCUUUUCCUAUGGCGAGAGCAAUAUGGAGUCUUCCCGCCAGCUAAGAAGGACAUUUUUUUUGUCGCGGCAUGAGCUUGCAUCCCCAAAGCUGACCACGUCAAACUCAUCUUCGGGCGAGGGAGGGCCCACCAGCUGGCAGCAGUUGGCCACAUCCCCGCUGUUGCCUGCUUUUCUGCCUCUGAGGGCGCGCACUGGCACCUCGACAGUGGGCACACGUGCCGUACGUCAGUGGCGCCUCGGCGUGGGUAAGGCCCAGGCAGGUGACACAGUACUGGUGAAGGUCGAGGGGGUCAAUGGGACCAGCACAUAUCUGGCAUGUAGCAGCCAUUGGAUGCAGAGAUGAAAACGGGGUGAGUAGUCCUCUAUUGCAACUUUCA
This is a non-coding RNA of Pimephales promelas (fathead minnow), 969 nucleotides long. The record is from RefSeq and is a predicted model, not a curated record. Lineage: Eukaryota; Metazoa; Chordata; Actinopteri; Cypriniformes; Leuciscidae.